GUGAGACAUAUUAUCUAAUAAAAAUCAUGCAAUCUAGCUUGUUCACUUUGUAACGUAUAAUAACUGGAAGUUGAUCAAAGAAAACUACUUUCAUUUUCAUUACUACAUUGUUCCUAUUUUUAUGAACAAAAUUUAAAAUGUAUGAUAAAAAUCCAAUAUACGGUAAUUGAAACAUACAGUCUGACCUCACAUUGCUCUGAUAAAUCUGUUCAUUUCUGGCCAUUUUCAGUGUUGCUAUAGUGAACAGUGUUGACAAGGGGAUGAAAAAAAGCUUAUAAAUGGAAUUUUGAUCAUAGAUAAAGCUGAACAUAAACUAUCUCCCAACAUUUCUGCAUGUUGGGAGGCCCGGUUUGUGCCACAGAUGGCCAUCUCCCAAUAAUACAUAAAACAUUUCUUGUUGGAGCUCGGCACAUGUUGUUGAAUGCACAGGUCAUCUGAACAGAACAAUAAUUCAAUUCACUUAAUAAUGACCUCACUGGGAACAAACACAGACACACGAUGAUGCUGUUAGAAGAACAAAACCAUACUAGAGUUUUAAAAAUGAAAUUCUUAAAAAGUCGCCAUGCUCUUGUGAAAAUAGCACUUAAAUAUAUUCAGUGUUUAGCGACCAGGCAGGCUCACUGAGUUUAUUUUAGGCUCUUGAAUUUUACUGCAGUGUCGCUGCCAUGUUUUCUCCAUUUUCAGGCUGGUAGCUUUCCUGGAAAGGUCAGUGGUGCCCACUGAACCCUCUAUUGGCUUAUUGGCUGAGCUCAUUGAUGAAGAAGCCUUGAGUACAUCAUUUUUUCUUCUCAAAGAGCUGAGAUGGCAGUCCAUGAAGAAUGACUGCAGAAAGUUUCAGAAGGACACAUGGGAAUCAUUUAACCAGACCAAUAAAACCUGCUAUUUAUAUUACAAGCUAACCAUCACCUGGAAGGAAGAAAUGUUGGGCAUGGCACUAACUGAUGUGUAUAUUUACCGUGAAGUUUACCCCAGGUGAAAAGAGGAAACCAGCUGUGUGAAUGGAAUUUGGAGAAAGGGCACAACCAUCAGACGAAGUGGGAGGAAGAAACAUUAACUUCAACAGCUGUUUCUUGACCCCGGCUGUCAGUCUUCCCAAGAAUAAAUUUUGGAGAGUCCUAUUUGAAACAAAGAGGGAGUUUUGGGGGAGAGAAAAGUUGGUUGGUUCCAGGGCGACCGCCCAAAGGAGCUGGGAACAAGAUGUUGGCAGUUACCACGCAGCCUGCCUGCCUCUGCCGGGUGCAGAGAUGGAGCAAAGUAACUUGAAAGCUCCCCUCUCGGCGCCCUGUGCCUGCAGCUUCCCCCCCUAACGCGCGCCCAGAUCCAGCGCCGGUGGUAAGAGCCGUAGCUCGACUACAGUAAUUCCCCAGCUCGGGCGGCUUGAAACUGCUCGGGCUGAAUAGCAUUUGCUGUUCCGUCCUGUGGCCGCCUCCCGCCGCCGCUGCCGCGCUCCCUGCAAAGCAGCUCUCAUUAUCCCGGAAGUUGUGCUGACACAGUCUCGCUGCCACCAGAAGUUUGUCAACAUCAAACUUCUCCUGUGUGGGGUACGUUCACCUUCCACGAGUAUUUAAUCGAGCCAACAAGCAAACAAACAAACCCAAAUAAACCUGCCCGUGAUGUCA
Molecule: long non-coding RNA, 1619 nt
Filed under: Sus scrofa (pig)
Lineage: Eukaryota; Metazoa; Chordata; Mammalia; Artiodactyla; Suidae
Description: lncRNA (ENSSSCG00025066823.1)
Source: RNAcentral